GGUGGGUAACUUCCGCCAGACUUUUCUGGAGAUGGCUAAUCCAGCCGUGGGAUGUGGUUUCUUCUAACAGCCAGUCAGGAAAAUCUUGCUUCUCAAACUCCUGUCUUGACCCCUUCCUGAACUUUGCCUCCUGGAUCUUGAGGUCUGCCUUCUGUGGAAGAGAAAUACUAGAAUCAAUGAACUGUGAACUAGAGCCCUGGGAUUAUCAACAGCCAGCUGAAAUUUUGAGAGCCACCUUAUAGAAAGCCUAACAGCAAAGACUGGAGAGAGGCUUCCAGCCAACAGCCAGCAAGGAAUUGAAGCCCUCAGUCCAAUAGCAGUGAGGAAUUGAAUCCUGCCAACAGCCUCGUGGAUGGGUUGCUUGCUGCCUGAAUCUAACUCCUGCUACUACUGCAAAUACCACUGCCAUGAAUAUCCUCAGCAAGACCCCCUUCCAGACCUGCAUGAACAGUUGUGUGAAAUGUAUAUGCACAAAGGGACUGCAAGGGAAGACCCAGAGACUAGGGAAGAACUUGGAACAAUAAUCUCAGUUUCUUCAAUUCCUAAACUUGAGAGUAUUGCUGUUUUUAAAUGAAAGUAUUUUUUCCCCCUAAGCAUUUUGUUCUAAAGUUGAGCUGCCUUUGAGGGGAAAUAAAGAGACUACCAGAUUAAUGGGUUUUUUUCAAAUGGGAUGGUGGGGUAAGGAAUAAUCGGGGUGGUCUGUGGAACAACUUGGAGGAUUGGUGUUAUGUCUCAAGAAGAUAUUCAAGUAUGUUCCUCCUUUUUUACCCAGACCGACUGCUUCAUGCUGGGCUUCAGACAUGAGAGGCUAGGAGUAGGAGGCAUGCCUUGUUCAAAGAUACCCAGUUCUCCCAGGACCAUUUGUUGAAAAGGCAGGCACCUCAUUUUACAGAAGAGGAAACUGAGGCCCAGAAAGAGAAGUGGCAUGCCCAAGGCUGUGCCAGAAGCAAAGUGUAAAAUAGAUCCUGAGCCUCCGACUCCUGGUCUUAAAUGUGGGAAAUAGUCUACAGUUUGGAAGACACCAGAGAAAAAUGCUCCACAGCUCGCCCUGGUGACUCACUACAACUUAUGGGAAGAUGUGAGAUUAUUCUGUAUUCUAAUGUAUGUUAGAAGGCACACUCCACCCAAAGCCUUCCUGUGUGUUCCUCCCUGUGAGCUCACAUCCCGUUCACCAGCUGACUGGGAAGGGAAGUCAGGACCAGCCCUGACCCCAUCACACCAUCAUAACCUCGGGAUGGCAGGGCUGGAAGGCACCUCAGACGUCAUCCUUUGCAGACUCUUCAUUUUACAGUGAGAGGCAUGACGUGUCCACAGCUGGUUAGUGCCAAAGCCUGGGACAGGCUUCACAUUGUCCAGCUCUUAGUCAGAGCACUGUUGACAAUGUCUGCCUUCACUUGGAAUUCAGCACCUGCUUUCAGUAUAAACCCCUGCAUUUCACUAAAACUGAGCAGACUGCUGGUUUAAAAAAGAGAGGUCCAUCCAGCAGGGAUGAUGCUUUUCCUCGUUGAAAGAGGACAUUCACCUAAUGGGAGACCUGGAGUCAGAAUCUUUCUGAUGUGUGACUUGGCACAGUAACACAAUGCAGGAUGCUGGUGUGUUAAUAAAAAUAAAAAUUGCAUCGCCUACCUCAGAGUCGACAACAAUGUCAAGGAGUUAAUAGUCUUGGCAACACAGAGGCCACUGGACAGAGGCAUAACCUUGCGUGGCAGCUGCACGGGAAUUGGAUUUGGCUCAGGUGUUUCAGAUGACUAAGUUGGGAGCAUUUGACAAUUUUAGAUGUGGGAUGAAAAUUGCCUUAUCUAAGACAUAGGGCACCUGCAGAAGUAAAGAGAAACAGAACAAAGGGGACCACUCUUGGUAUAGAAGUUCAUCUCGUCGGGAGCAUCUGUGGUUCUUUUAUAAGCAAUGUACAUUCUACAAUAGAGGCAGACCCAGAAAUAAUUCAGAUAUUGGAGUUAGAAGAUCAGGAUUCUAAAAAAACCAAAAGAUCCUGCCUUACUAUGCACCUAUGGCCCUUCAAAGGCGAGAGUAGAAUCUGCUAUGAUUUAGAAGCAAGCAAUAAAAAGUACACAUCAGAAUUGGAGCCUGCACAGAUGUAGAAGGAGGCAUGAAGAGGGUAUUGGAGGAUUGCCCACUAUGCAGUCUGCAUCCUGAGUCUGUGGUGAGGCUGGACACGUUCAAGCUUACAGGAGAACUGGAGAAAGCAAGCAACACAGCGGUGGAAGUGAGACCACUGAAGGUAAGCUUGGGAGGGGGUCCCGACACCACCACAUCAGUGGAUCCACAGCUAAGUGAUUGGUGGUGGCCUGGGGUUCUGCUGUUUAGCAGGGACAAGAGUGGAGGAGACAAACUGGACUCGGAACAAACUGGGAGCCUCUGCAUCCAUCCGUAACUGUCUGGCCGUGACAGUGGUUAGAGAGGAGUGGCUUCUGUGAAACUCUCACAAUCUCAAAUCUCCCACAAGUGCCUCUUUCAGCUAACUCUAAACUGGUACCAUAGAGGAAAUGGAUUCUGAAAACUUGGUCUCCAACCUUAGACAAAUUGAAUAAUUAAUAUGUCCUCUCCUGCUUCUUCUGUAACUGAAUUUGCAUUGGGAAGCAGGCCUGUCACUCUCAGACUUUGUGGUUUGAGUAGGGCUCACUUCAGCACCACCUUUUCCUCUUCUCAGCCCCACGGACUGGCAUGAGACUCAGGCCUGGCCAACUGAAUGUCACACACCUAUGACCAUCAGUUGGCUCAGAGAUGGACUCAGGACACCAUCACAGCCAAUGAAACCCUGUUAGGGAAAUUUGUCAGAACCAUACAAAGAAAUAGCUCCACUUUUCCAUAGAGAUGAGACAUAAGCCUGGACUAACUGGUGUCCAAUUUGCCAUCAAGAGAGCAUCUGAGAAGACAGAGGAAAACUGGGGAAAGCGAAGUCUAAGGAAGGUGAGUAAGGACAAGUCCAGUUGAUAUUACAUGAAUCACCUGGACCUGGAAAUCAAGGCAUUGCUGGAUUCAAGGCCAAGAAAAAUUGGAAGCUGGCUUGAAUCAGGUUCUAUCACUUGCAGUUGAAAAGGUCCAGACUAAUAUGAUAACAAAGGAGCAAGUAAGCAAGAUUCUGCCCUACAGUAAGUGCUCAAUGCAUGUCAGCUGGUAUUAUUAUUAUACAGACUUCUAUUUCUAGCCCUUUUAUUUCUACCACCUCUCUUCUGUGUUUUAUGUAAAGUGCAUAAGGAUUGUUCUGUUUGGAAACAUCAAACCAUAUAAAAUGACACCAGCAGGUCCCUUUCUGUCUGUCAGUGUCCACAAGCUCAACAACCAGGAUCAGCAGACAAAAACAGCUAAGCUGGAGUCAGUGUUUUUAUGAAGAAACAGGAAAAGAACUUACUUGGGAACUGUAGCUCAUCCUCCAAUAUUCUCCAUCCUAUCACUCUUUUCAUGACAGUUUCUUCUUGGCCCUGAAGUUGCCUUGUCAUGGCUCCCUGCCUCUGUCCUUUCUCUGUCUCACUUACAUCUUCCAAUGAGGAAUACAGCAAGACCUUUGGAUGAGGACCUCCAAAGGUCCUCAGUAUCCUUAGGACACUCGGUGCAGAACUAGAGGGACUGAGAGGAGGAGCUUUUGCAGGUUAAAUGACUAGUGAAUGGCCUUUCCUUAUAUUUCCAUUAGAAAUGGGAUUAGCUACACCUGAGAAGGAAUGACUUUGGAACAACUGAUCCCUAGCUUUCCAAAAUAUGAGAAAUUGAGAUGCAGGGAGUAGUAAGCACCUAGUUAAUGAGUCAAAGCAUAUUUAUAAAGUUCACAGGGUACAUAGCAUAUAGCAGCUGUUCUCUAUCUCAGUUGAGUUUUGACUAGGAAAUGGGCUUAGGAUAAAACACAUAGGCUUUUGAGUAAUCAUUUGUAAGAAAUUGUAGAUAGUGACCACAGUUUAAUAGCAUUAGAUAAAUUAUGAAAAGUCACUGAAAUACCUUCUCUGGAAAAUGUUAGAAGCUCAAGUACAAUGGCUUAGUUAAAGGCAGGUGGGGGAGAAACUUGAAGAAUGUGGUCCAGUACAAGAAUACCCCAUUUUUCCCCUAAGGCAAUGAAAAUGACAUGAAGUAAUCAUAGUUAUUUAUACAGGAACAAUUUAGGAGACUUAGAAUAUUCACUUCUUUUGCCUUCUAGCUGAGCAUCAAAAUUCUCUCUCUGUCUCUGCCUCUCUCUCUCUAUUUUCCACUUCUAGCUCCAACUAUUUUAAAUCCCUCCCCCAAUAGAACUCAUAACAAACAUAAAACAACAUUUGUUGUAUGUUUACAAUAGAUGUUCAAGCUAAUAUUUAUGUAGGCUUAGCCCUGGCAUUAAAUUAAGGUUUGGUUCACCAACAGGGUGCCUAGAGACUUCACCUCUAUUUCCAUGAGGGACUGAACAGCCUCUUGAGAAGGGACUCAUCAAAAUGGAAGAGUUGGCAAUAAGAAGUUUGGCUAAAUAACCAAGCACUGAAGUUGCAGAGGAGAAAGGAUUUGAAAGGCAGUACAGUGUCCAGGGGCAAGUUGGCAAUUUUUAGCAGGAGGUGAAGUGAUGCCAGCAGAGGUAACAGUGCUCAGAGGGACCAGUAGUCCCCAGGAGGAGCAGGGGAAUCCCCAGUGGAUCUGAUUUGUUCAAGAGCACAUGUGAGAUUAUCAGCUGGCGUUACAAUUUUGGAGUGGCAGUGAGAAGCAGUGAAUUUGAGGUCACUCAAUUUGCAGACCCCAAAGGGUGAAAUGUUGAGAAACAUGAGUUACACAUGUAUUUAACAGCUCUUGUGUAUUAUCACAAAUCCUAUUUCACCUCUCAUGCCCCCGAGGCUUUGGUGUCCAGUUCUCUGAAGACUUCAUCAAUCCUCAGCCAUAAAUCACCUGAGAGCAACUCACCUUGCUUCAUACUAUGAAGCUCCCUGAUGUCACAGCAUGGCAGGCCUGUGGCAACCCCUCAACACUUAUGCAUGAUCCCAAACAGCUAGAGGAUUAACACCUACGGUGUAACCCUUGACCAGCAGGAAAUGGAAAUUACUGUCUUUUUGUCCCCGCAGGUGAAUGGUUCUAAAAUGCAUUUUAUAAGCCUUCUGAAAUAGUCCCACAGGUCAAGCACCUACUUGCUCCAGUGGUGACCAACUCAAUGAUGCAUCCUUGGGUUGACUCUCCCUCCUUUCCAGUUCACUUUCCCCGCCCCUCACUCCUGCACCUCAGCAUCACAUUCCUGAAUAAACCACUCACACAUCUGUCUUAUUUCAGACUCUGUUUGGGGGAAUCCACAAUAAAAAUUUGUCAUUUUGAGUUAAACAUUGCUCUCACCUUGAAGACAUAUUUCCAUACCUAGAGAUUUCUGAAGUUCUCUCCCUUUUCCUAUCAUCUCCUUUGUGCUUUGUCUGACCUCCAUGUUACAGAGCCCCAUGAUAUUUAGAGCCAGUACUGCUAGGGAAGUAGUUCAGUUGUGUUUUAAAUGGUUCAGCAACUUGUAACAUCAACUGAGAACCAGAGGAAUACACUUGGAGGCCAAGAAAAAAAUGUUAGCUAAUAUGUACCAUACAGUAUGAUUCCUUGGGUAAGGGAAAGUAUAUGCAAGUGACAGAGGAAAAUUGAAAGUUGUAGCCCUUUUUUGGACUUUAGAUUUGGAAUUAAAGUUUCUCUUCUCUUGAAAGACCUUCUUUUUGUGGAUAAUGAUGAAUCUGAAGACCAGAACAGUGGGCCAAUUUGCCUUAGUUGAGAGUGGCAAAUAAAUGAAGAACUGAAGAACGUAUCUCUUUAACUAGUGCUCCUUUGUUGAGAAGAUACAAAACAAACAAUUGAAGGGUAUGGAUGAAGCCAUUGGCUUAUUCAUGUCUCUGUUGAUCAUAAUGAGAUUAAUAUAUAUAGGACAUUCACACAAAGAGGAUAUUGACUCGAUGGCUUACAGAUUAUUAGAGUUAGAAAUGUGACCUACUACUAAAGGAAGAAUGUUUCAGGUGUGGAUCUCUGAUUUAAAAAAUACACCACACUUGCCUCAGUGAAGCAAGUCAACUUAGGUGCUGAUACAAUGCCACUGCAGCUGUGCUGAGUUCAUGAAAUCAGAUCCCACUCUCUUCACCUACCCCUACCGUAUUCAUCCUACUUUCCGUCUGCUCUGCCCUUCCCAUUUGGUAACCUAGUCAUGAAACACCUGGCUCUGGGUCCUUCCUUCAGCAUCACUCCACGUUGUACUGCUGGCAUCGCUUUUCUUGGCACAGAACCUCUUAGGGCUGCUAUCCUAGGAGUAGGUGCUACUCAGGCUGGCUUAGUCCCAGGCUUCACUCACUUCUUGGCCCAUGGCCAGGAGGACCGGAAAGAACAAACUCUCUGCACAUCUCUGCAGGUGGCCACAGAGCCCCCAUCUGAGCCUUGCUGAUGGAGAAGAGCAUGCUGCAUCACAAGAUAACUGUGUGGCUCUGUUCAAAAACCUUGUUUAGAAGUUAUUAUUUCUUUUAUUGCAUUAGAAUUUGCCUCACUGUAGCUUUUGUGCUUCUGUCCUGGUUCAGCCUUAGAUAGCAGUGCAGCCUGGUCCAUGUGAAAGCUCUUGCAAUAGGCCUUUCUGCUAGUCAGGAGUUCUCAGACCCAUCCCUACUCUUCACUUUUCUCAAGACUAAUAUCAGACUCCUGGGCUCUUCAAGGUUUCCUCAUAUGAUAAAAGUUCUAAGCCCUCCAUUGUCCUAGUCACUGUCCUCUCUGUUCCAUCCCUGUCUGCCCUUCCAAGAUGCUGCACCUGGAGAUGAAUUUGUCCUUCCUGGGGCAAGUCACCAUGAGAUGAUUACUUUUGGAUCAUACUGAAUUUGUGGGUUAAAUAAACUCAUAGGUCUUUAUCUCAUGCACUAAAUCCAAAUUCGAUCUCUUGCCGUAAAUCAUUUUUUUGAAUAGCUGAACAAUAAGUAAAUAAUACACAAAUGAAAACUAAUCAAUAUUUGAACAUCCUCAGUAUUUUCAGCCCUAGUUUGAGCCAGACAUAGCUCAUCUUGUAUACUUCACUAAGGACACUUUAUACGAUCAAGCAAUUAAUAUUAUGAUGUCAUGUCUCGCAAGCCCCAUAGUGUCACUUCCAGUCUCUUCACCACAAAGAACGUUGAAGCCUUCGUAUUUUUUUGAAAAUCAUAUUUCUAGCUGCAGGAUGGGAUGUAAGAAAAGUUCAGAUUAGGAUUAUUCUAGGCUCCUGACUAUAACUAAAAUCCUGAUUUUUUAUGGAAAGGAAUGAGGAUCAUUCCUUCAAAUUAGAUUUUUGUGAUAAAAAGAAAAAAGUUGGUAAUCUAUUCAAAAUUGUAACAAAAAUAACUGCAUUUUUCUUUGGAAAAUAAUAGUUGAUUCCUUUUUGCUUUUUUUACUUAUGAAUUGGGGUGCAAUAGAGUUUAAUAAAAAUGAUGUGAAACACUCUUAUAAGGCUAAUUUAUCACAUUUGCUUCAAGGAAUUGUCCUUUCUAACAAAAUUGUGAAAUGGAACUGAACAGUAGCAUGAUGAGGCCUCUACCAGGAGGAGGUACAGAACAAGGCAGGAGGUCAGUGGUUAAAGGACUCCUUGCUUAUGCUCAAGAAAUGUGGACCUUAUUAGAGGUGACACAGUGAAAUCAGUCACCUGAUUUCGCAGGUGACUGUGGAGCAAGAAUGCAAAUCCACAAUAUUAGGAUGAAUGUGAGAGGAGAAGGGAAGGAGGCCAUGAGGGAAAAAAGGACAUCUAAUUGGGUCUGAAAGGAAGGGUAGAAUUUAAGUAAAGAGCACUGUGUACAUAUGGGAAUACCAUGUACUUUCUCAUGGAGAGAGGCCUUCUGACAGUCCUGCAUUGAUCCUGCUUCUUUGACCAUCCCUUGUUAGCCAGCAGGUCAUUUGGCCUCACUAGUUGCCUCAGUGCUGAGUGAUAGACUCAGCAGUCCCCAGCCUCUUUGGCACCAGGGACUGGUUUUGUGGAAGAUAAUUUUUCCAUGGAUCAGGGAGAGGAUGGUUUCAGGAGGAUUUAAGU
This 7951-nucleotide long non-coding RNA is filed under the name Homo sapiens (human). RNAcentral's name for it is "HSALNT0308954". Lineage: Eukaryota; Metazoa; Chordata; Mammalia; Primates; Hominidae. The record is from RNAcentral.